This 497-nucleotide ribosomal RNA is filed under the name uncultured bacterium. RNAcentral describes it as "partial 16S ribosomal RNA". It matches the Rfam family "Bacterial small subunit ribosomal RNA", at positions 28 to 507 of the family's 1533-position model. The record is from RNAcentral.
GAUGAACGCUGGCGGCGUGCCUAAUACAUGCAAGUCGAGCGAACAGACGAGGAGCUUGCUCCUCUGACGUUAGCGGCGGACGGGUGAGUAACACGUGGAUAACCUACCUAUAAGACUGGGAUAACUUCGGGAAACCGGAGCUAAUACCGGAUAAUAUAUUGAACCGCAUGGUUCAAUAGUGAAAGACGGUUUUGCUGUCACUUAUAGAUGGAUCCGCGCCGCAUUAGCUAGUUGGUAAGGUAACGGCUUACCAAGGCAACGAUGCGUAGCCGACCUGAGAGGGUGAUCGGCCACACGGGAACUGAGACACGGUCCAGACUCCUAAGGGAGGCAGCAGUAGGGAAUCUUCCGCAAUGGGCGAAAGCCUGACGGAGCAACGCCGCGUGAGUGAUGAAGGUCUUCGGAUCGUAAAACUCUGUUAUUAGGGAAGAACAAAUGUGUAAGUAACUAUGCACGUAUUGACGGUACCUAAUCAGAAAGCCACGGCUAACUACGUG